UGCUAAGAGAAAUGACAUCCAAGAGGGACACAGACAAACAUUUGUCCAGAUGAGCUGCGGUAACAGGAUUGUGUUUGGACAGGAGCUUCUCUCCGCAGGGAACAAGCUUUAGGAACAAGCUGAAGAAAUUGAGAAAUAUAUGCCGGCGGUUAUUCUGAAAACGUCUGUUUUCCACUGGAAUGAAGCUUUUACAGCCCCCUCGGUUGGAGAGAGAGAGGGAUGGAAUGAGAAAGAGAGCGAGUGAAACAGUGAAUCAUGAGUGCAGCUUUGAACAACAAGGGGAAAUCCUCCUAUUGAGAAGGCAUGCGCUGUGGAAACAUGCAUCACUCAUAGAGAUUUCACAGAGCUUUUCUCAAGGCUUCCAUCUUCAGGCUUGUUGGUUAGUCACAGUCCACACAUGCUGGAGAAUGCUGGAAUUACACCAAAACAAGGGCAGAGCGUCUUGUGUAAGCAGUUUUUCCUUGAGUGAACUCCUGCAGAAUAAAUAGUCAUACAGCAUGAGGCAUUCUUGGGGGAAGUGAUUAAAGCCUGAGAAGGGGGUUGGAAGGGGCAGAACAAUUACCCUGAAGAGGCGUUGGGCCAGACCCCUGCAGGUGGAGCUGACAGGGCGAGACCUCGGGCUGUCACAAGCUAUUAGCUAGGCAGAGACGGCCAGAGAACACACACUCAGAUGGAGCAACUAUACGAAGAAUAGCUUUUUUCUGCUGGUCUAGACUAUGUUCAGCAUACUACUUGUACUGUUUCUUUUGUGUAUUGUUGUAAGUGCAGUAUGGACUACAUUCUGCAUGCAUACUAUAUUCACCAGGCUAUACAGCAAAUGAUUGUGAAGUGCAAUAUAGGGCCACAGACUUUAAUCGCUCAGUCUUCUCUAUAAGAGUUGUCACUUGUCAGUAUUUGGAACACACUACAAAAUAACAUUAGACAGUGUUCCACCUUUGCUUAAUUUAAGUUAUGACUAAAAAUAUGACUAAAGACGAGCCAAAUAUGCGAUUGUUGAAAACCUUUUUUAUUAUUAUUGAUUAACAUUCAUUUAUUUUAGGUGUAUUAGCAUUUAUUAUAGUGCAACCUGCUUGUAAUUGUAUUACUGCUAUUUGUAAUUUUUUUUUUGCAUUAGGUGUGAUGUUUUAUGUAUGUUAAUUAAUGAAUGUUUUAAUUACAGCGUAUAUUGCUUUUUUCCUGCUUAGGGGCUGCAGAUGAAAUUUAGUACAUUUCCAAUAAUUUAUAAA
RNAcentral lists this long non-coding RNA (1226 nucleotides) under Sinocyclocheilus anshuiensis. RNAcentral describes it as "lncRNA (ENSSANG00000037496.1)". The record is from RNAcentral. Lineage: Eukaryota; Metazoa; Chordata; Actinopteri; Cypriniformes; Cyprinidae.